ACGGCAUUUAAUAAAUCACACGCGGUAUCUGCGAAACAGUGGUCGAGAUUGGUCUUCCCGGCUUCACUGGCUGUAAUCCAUUGAUGGUUCUUGCCUUUGCCUGCAACAAUUGGUGUCUAACUAACGGACUAGAUAAAAAUAAUUGCUCUAAGAUUCAAAUCAACAAGCAUUCUGACUUGGAAGAUUUGUUGAAUUAAUAUGAAGUCACAUCUAAAGUUUGCAAGAGAUGGGGUCUCACUAUGUUGCCCAGGCUCGUCCUGAACU
Molecule: long non-coding RNA, 264 nt
Organism: Cercocebus atys (sooty mangabey)
Lineage: Eukaryota; Metazoa; Chordata; Mammalia; Primates; Cercopithecidae
Exons: 4
Source: RefSeq, a predicted model, not a curated record